AUGAUUGACAUGAUUUCAGCUGUCCAAGACCUUAGUGGGCUGACCACCAGGGAACUUGGUGAGAUGCUCAAGGAGUCCGACAGCUUCGUCUUGCAGUCCAAGGCGCAAAACGGAGGUCCAGAGCAGGUGGACAUGGAGAAGCUUGUCUCGUCGCUUCCUCUCCAUCUUCUUGCUCUAAGUUUGGAUAUCGGAAGAGGCACAGAUUUGACAUAUGUGCUCCGUGGCGUGCGCUUUUUGCAUUGCUUGUCUGAGCUAGCAACUCGCCACACCAAGCUGGAGCAGGUUCUUCUGGAUGAUGUCAAGUUAUCUGAACAAGUUAUGGACCUGAUAUUCUACCUGCUAUCCGUUCUGUCCCACUGGAAGAAGGAAGAUCAUCUUGGCGCUUCUCCCUUCAUACAUUCAUCACUCGUAGCAGGAAGUCUUCAUCUGAUGACGAGUUACUUCUCAUCUCAGUGGCAUGAACUUGUUCAUAUUCUUCUUGCACAUCCAAAGGUUGAUAUCUUUAUGGAUGUAGCCUUUGAUAGUCUGCACGAAGAUAUGAGGUUAUUGAGUGUCAGGCUAUCAACAUUGGGCACCAAAGCCUUUCCUGUUGGCCCUUUUGACUCACAACUCACUUACUUCAUAUGCCAACAGUGUGAAGCAUCAUUGCAAUUUCUUUUGUCACUGUGCCAGCAGAAGUUAUUCCGAGAUCGUAUUUUAAAAAACAAGGAGCUCUGUAGAAAUGGAGGUAUACUGUCACUCUCGUUUACGAUAUUGAAGUUAGGUGUUCCAGAAUGGCUGAAAGGAUCAACUGACAUCGCUUCUUCCAUUUCCAGACAGAAGGCUAAAAUCCUUUCUAUUCUGUUACAACUGUGUGAAUCUGAAAGUAUUUCUUACCUCGAUGAAGUCGCCACUUUACCAAAGAGCAUGCAACUAGGGCUGGAGGUUCUUGAUUUGCUGAAGAUUGCAUUUGGAAGGAAACAAAAACCUGCUGCCGGUCCCCAUGAUAAGAGUUACCCCGUGGGUUCUGUGCUUAUCAGUGCAUUGCGCCUCGUUGACGUCUUUUCUGAUGAUUCAAACUUUAGAUCUUCCUUCAUAACUAAUACUAUUCCCUUUCUGACGCAAAUUUUGGCGACUCCUCAUGAUGAGUUUGUCUCGAGUUGGUGCUCUGUCGAUCUGCCAGUGAUAGAAGAUGAUGCUAAUCUGGAUUAUGAUCCAUUUGGUGCAGCUGACCUGGCACUGUUAGCUGCUUCAAAUAUGCUGACUGAAGCUAAAGUUAACUAUUCAUGCAAUUUUCGCUCUAUCAGCAUGCCUUCAAUACAAUAUGCACAGACAAGAACAUCCUGUGUGGUGAAAAUAAUAGCAAAUUUGCACGUCUUUGUUCCAAACAUAUGCGAAGAGCAAGAAAGAGACCUCUUUCUUCAGAAAUUUCAGAAAUACUUGUUAUCAGAGAGUCCCAAGCCAUCAUUGGACCAUCCAGCAGCUGAUGAGAUCACUAUAGUUUGUACAAACUUGGGAUCUUUGUCCCAUUAUGCUAAAUCAUUAAUCCCUGGUAAUUUGUUAAAUGAGGAAGAUGUGCAACUAUUAAGUGAUUUUGCUUAUAAGUUGCAACGUUGGUGUAAAUCGCAAGUUGGACAGAGAAUAUCGCAGGUGGCAAAAAGUGACGUCACAUCAGAAAUGAAGGUAGACUUGCAACCGGUGCAGCAGCCCCAGCCCCAGCCAGCAAGGGCUAGCGUUCCAGAUCCCAAUAUGGAUGGCCCUCCUAAGCAGGAUGUGCAAAACAUCGAAGAGUCUAUGGCGACGCCCCCCAUGAAACAAGAUGGAAAUGCUAGGGAUGAGACUCCAAGAAACCGUGCCACUACAAAUGGUGGGGUCCUGCAAAAUUCAGUCGGUCAGAACCUAAUCCAUCUUGGUGUUGCGAGGACGACUAGCGCGGGCUAUCCGGGUCCCAGUACUGCUACCAGCAUGGAGGUCCCGCGCUGCAGAAGUGUAGACCAUUUCAAAACACCAGAACCUACCAAGGAAAGUGGUCUCCGGGACGAGGAUGAGAGGCAGCCUAGUAGGAGAGGAAAGAAGCGAACCAUCAUGAAUGACGGGCAGGUAAAUGAAAUUGAGAAUGCUCUGGUUGAUGAGCCCGAGAUGCAUAAGAAUGCCGCUUCCCUUCAGACAUGGGCAGAGAAGCUGAGUGGGAAGGGUGCGGAGAUCACAUCAUCGCAACUAAAGAAUUGGCUGAACAACAGAAAAGCCAAGCUUGCUCGUAUCGCGAAAGAAAGAGGAGUGCCAUACGAUGGCGAGGGUGCCGACAAGUCAUCUACACCAGCUACUUCUCAGUUGGGCGACUCCUCAGAGAGUGCCGGCGAGGAGAGCUAUCUGCCGCCUUCAAGGGUGCUGAAUGCUCUAGGCUUAUCCAACUCCAAGGGCAGCAGCAGGCUCGUUACCCCAGACUCGAGCGAGCAAAGUACACAAGACAUGAUGACGAGCCGCCCGUUCACAAGAUCAUUGUCAUUCGAGCCUGGCCGCCCCGUUCUGCUGAUGGACAACGAAGGGAGCGAAGUUGGCAGGGGCGAGAUCUUCCAGGUCGAGGGCAGGGCGCAGGGGAAGAGCCUGGCAGAGAGCCACAUCUGCAUCAUCGACGUCACCGAGCUCAAGGUCGAGAAGUGGAGGGAGCUCCCCCACCCUUCCGAGGCAUCCGGGAGGACUUUCCAGGAGGCGGAGUCGAGGCACGGCGGCGUGAUGAGGGUGGCCUGGGAUGUCGUCAGGCUCGCUCCAGUGGCGACGUAG
This 2760-nucleotide ribosomal RNA is filed under the name Triticum aestivum (bread wheat). RNAcentral describes it as "partial small subunit ribosomal RNA". Lineage: Eukaryota; Viridiplantae; Streptophyta; Magnoliopsida; Poales; Poaceae. The record is from RNAcentral.